This 642-nucleotide ribosomal RNA is filed under the name uncultured Cupriavidus sp. Its description in RNAcentral is "bacterial SSU rRNA". It matches the Rfam family "Bacterial small subunit ribosomal RNA", at positions 8 to 645 of the family's 1533-position model. The record is from RNAcentral. Lineage: Bacteria; Pseudomonadati; Pseudomonadota; Betaproteobacteria; Burkholderiales; Burkholderiaceae.
AGAGUUUGAUCCUGGCUCAGAUUGAACGCUGGCGGCAUGCCUUACACAUGCAAGUCGAACGGCAGCGCGGACUUCGGUCUGGCGGCGAGUGGCGAACGGGUGAGUAAUACAUCGGAACGUACCCUGUUGUGGGGGAUAACUAGUCGAAAGAUUAGCUAAUACCGCAUACGACCUGAGGGUGAAAGUGGGGGACCGCAAGGCCUCACGCAGCAGGAGCGGCCGAUGUCUGAUUAGCUAGUUGGUGGGGUAAAGGCCCACCAAGGCGACGAUCAGUAGCUGGUCUGAGAGGACGAUCAGCCACACUGGGACUGAGACACGGCCCAGACUCCUACGGGAGGCAGCAGUGGGGAAUUUUGGACAAUGGGGGCAACCCUGAUCCAGCAAUGCCGCGUGUGUGAAGAAGGCCUUCGGGUUGUAAAGCACUUUUGUCCGGAAAGAAAUCGCGCUGGUUAAUACCUGGCGUGGAUGACGGUACCGGAAGAAUAAGCACCGGCUAACUACGUGCCAGCAGCCGCGGUAAUACGUAGGGUGCGAGCGUUAAUCGGAAUUACUGGGCGUAAAGCGUGCGCAGGCGGUUUUGUAAGACAGGCGUGAAAUCCCCGGGCUUAACCUGGGAAUUGCGCUUGUGACUGCAAGGCUAGA